RNAcentral lists this ribosomal RNA (229 nucleotides) under uncultured bacterium. RNAcentral describes it as "partial 16S ribosomal RNA". It matches the Rfam family "Bacterial small subunit ribosomal RNA", at positions 8 to 214 of the family's 1533-position model. The record is from RNAcentral.
AGAGUUUGAUCAUGGCUCAGGAUGAACGCUGGCGGCGUGCCUAACACAUGCAAGUCGAGCGAAGCACUUUACUUUGAAUCUUUCGGGAGGACGAGUGAUUUGACUGAGCGGCGGACGGGUGAGUAACGCGUGGGUAACCUGCCUCACACAGGGGGAUAACAGUUAGAAAUGACUGCUAAUACCGCAUAAGGCCACAGCACCGCAUGGUGCAAGGGUAAAAACUCCGCGG